GCUGGGCGUGGUGGCGGGCGCCUGUAAUCCCAGCUACUCAGGAAGCUGAGGCAGGAGAAUCGCUUGAACCCAGGAGGUGGAGGUUGCAGUGAGCCACGCGCGUGCCACUGCACUCCAGCCUGGGUGACAGAGUGAGACUCCGUCUCAA
RNAcentral lists this signal recognition particle RNA (148 nucleotides) under Pan paniscus (pygmy chimpanzee). Its description in RNAcentral is "Metazoan signal recognition particle RNA". It matches the Rfam family "Metazoan signal recognition particle RNA". Rfam says of the family: The signal recognition particle (SRP) is a universally conserved ribonucleoprotein. RNAcentral also lists the same sequence under 1 other name. Lineage: Eukaryota; Metazoa; Chordata; Mammalia; Primates; Hominidae. The record is from Rfam by way of RNAcentral.